This 8936-nucleotide long non-coding RNA is filed under the name Podarcis lilfordi (Lilford's wall lizard). The record is from RNAcentral. Lineage: Eukaryota; Metazoa; Chordata; Lepidosauria; Squamata; Lacertidae.
GUCCCCUUAACCACCUACAGUUCCCAGAAUCCCUGAGGGGAAGCCAUUCCUGUUCAAAGUGUCUUCAUAGCCCUUUCAGUGGACGGUGCACCUAAUGUGGCCUAAUGUUUCCUCCCUCAUUUUCUUCUCUCUCCCCACUGCCCCAUCACUUGCAAUGCAGCAGAUGUCCGCCUGCAGUCUCCCUUCAAAGCUUCUUCUCUCAGGUAUGGCCACGGCCUUGUCCAUUGCUCACUGCCAGUAUUUCACGUUCAUUUCUCUGAUGUAAAUAGGGAUGUCCUGCGGUUCUCUUCAUGACUUUGAAGGCUGGAUUUGGGGAAAACCUCACCGGCUCCGGACAUCCCUGUAAGGCAAAGGCAAACAGGUGAGUGGGAUGGCCCCCAUCCGACAGCGUCCCCCCAGACUCUUCCUGUUUGGCUGCCUGUGAACAAACAAGGCUUCCAAACCAGUUUGCAUCCAUCUCAGCCAGCGUAGCUUCGCGGCAUCCACUAGCCUGAAUGCAAUCUCUUCUGACAACCAUCCACCAGCUGCAGCCUCUCCAGGUCCAUUGCCAGACAUCAACCAGCUUGGAAGUGCUAUGAAGACACUUUAAACAUGAAUGGCUUCUCCUCAGGGAUUCUGAGAACUGUAGGUGGUUAAGGGGACGGAGACUUGUUAGGGUGGUUUAGGGUUAGGGUUAGAGCUAGGGUUAGGGUUAGGGUUACGGUUGGGUUAGGGUAGUAUUCCCUUCUUGCCAGGGAACUCUGGGAAUUGUAGCUCUAGUUAAGGGUUAAGGGUUAGCAUUAGGGUUAGAUUUAGGGUUAGCAUCAGGGGUAGGGUUCCCUUCUUGGCUGGGAACAGAUGGUCUCCUAACAACUCUCGGCACCCUUUUCAAACUAUAGCUCCCAGAUUCUUUGGGGAAAGAAGCCAUGAGUGUUUAAAGCGGCUUCAUAGCGCGUUAAAUGGUGUGGAUGUGGCCCUGGCCUCCCUCACCCCACUGCCUCUUAUUACUGAAGAAUCGAAAGGAUUUCCCCAUUCAAAUCUCUUAGAAACAGGAAACAGGAAGAAGAAAGACUUUCUAUCUCAUGCCAUUUUGAAAUGUCUUAACUUGAAAUGCCAAUAAAGAUGAUUGUAUUGUAUUUGAAUGGGGAAAUCCUCACCCCACUGCCUAUUAUUAUUGAAGAAUCGAAAGGAUUUCCCCAUUCAAAUCUCUUAGAAACAGGAAACAGGAAGAAGAAAGACUUUCUAUCUCAUGCCAUUUUGAAAUGUCUUAACUUGAAAUGCCAAUAAAGAUUAUUGUAUUGUAUUGUAUUGUAUUAUGAUUAACAUGGGAAGUCAGGGGGCCUUGGAUGGCUUCUGAGGGUGCUAAGGAGGGCUUCUGAGGGUGCCAUGGAGUCCACAUGCCACAUGUGUCACAAGGGAGGGGGGUCCUCUGUCAUCAUUUCUUUAUUACUAAAUACCCUACCUUGAGUCCUAGUGUCCCCAGCCCUGUCUAUAUAUGGUCUCCUGUGAUGUCACAAACAUACAUAGCAGCUGAGGGGAAAGAGGCAGUUUCUUAUUCUAGAAUUUCAAACAUAGGAGGGCAGGAGGGGGACAUUUUUCAGCCCAGGGGCUGCAUUUCCCUCUUUGAAUAAAGUUUGGACACCACUGCCCUAAGCCAUGCCCUCUCACCAGGCCUCUUUUCCCAGGGCUGUGCUGCAAUGUUUCAAUGGUGAUUAUUAUUGUUUUGCUGCAAAUUAUUGGCCUCUUUUUGGUUAGAAACAGAUGAAACUACCUUAUUUUUGCUCCACAUUUCAUACCAUUCUUCUUGAGGUGCAUUAUUUAAGUUAGGAAGGCAGAAAGAUAAAGCAAGACAAAAUCAAGCAUGUCAAAGCAUUUGCAGACACAAGAAAGUAAAAUGGAUGGUUAGAUCAAAAUUAUUCUGAUCUGAAUCCAAACUUUGCUUUGCAACAUUUGAUGCUAUGUGUAUAAGUAGGCUGAAUGUCCCUCCAUUAUAAUUUAUGUAGUACUGUAUUAUUAUUUUUAUUAGAUUUAUAUCCCACGUUUCUAUCCAAAUGAGCCAAGCAGGGAUGUCAACUUGAAUAAAAUAUUGUGAGGAUCCAGGUAGGCCCUGCCCUGCAUAAUUUAUCACAUGACACAGUGCACACAUACUAUUUGAAUUGGAAUGCCCAUCAACUUUGUGGGGGCCCAGCCCCCUCAAAUAUUGUAUUGUGGGGGCCAAAGCCCCCAUGGCCCCUAGGAGUUGGCUCCUAUCGAAUCAAGGGUGGAGAACAACAAGUGAUCAAACAAUUAUAAUAAUAAAUCUUUAAAGCAAUUCCAGUACGCAUUCAUAUUGGGAAAGAUUUCAACUUAAAAGGCUCAUUGAAAGAGGGAAGUCUUCAGUAGGUGCUGUUAAGACAAUCAAGACGGCGUCUGCCUGAUAUUCAAAGGGAAGAAUUACUUAGGGUAGGUGCCAUAACACUAAUGGCCUGAGACCUGUAUUGUGCGGAACAUACUUCCUAUAAAAUGGUAUCUGUAGGAGAAUCUCACAUGCAGAGUGCAGUGACUGACUGGGUUUAUGUCGGGCUGGACAGAGGAGGAGGAGGAAUGGACUUCCUCCCCAUCCUGACCCUUCCAGGGAGGAGGAAGAGGAAGACAGUAUAGAUUUACAACAGUGGUUUGCAGGAGGUCACAGCUCAGAGGCAGAUGAAGGGAAAAGUUGGGAAAUAGUGGGAGGGGAGAGCCGGAGCAGCAGCUGGCUGACAUGUCAUUAGAAAGCGUUCUAGACCCACCAUCUCCCAGAACCUGGCAAGCCUUAAAAGUAGAAGAGCAAAGAGCUUGAAGACAGAGGGCACUUAGUGGCAUCCAUAGAGGAGGUGAUGAUGAUGACAAAUGAGGAAGUGGGAGAGAAUUCACCUGGGACAACACCAUUAUCCAAGAGGCUGGGUUCUAUAACUUCUCUCUGUAAAGUUUGAAAUAAAAAAAGAACUGUAAGAAACUUUUCCUUGUCUUUAUACUUUCCUGGGCAACCAGCUGGGAACUGCUGAUAGCAUCCUGACUGUAUAUAAGGGGUGAGAGAAUCUUUCAGGUACCUGAGAGGCUACAAAAAGAAGUGCAAAAGUCAGGUACAUGAAGAGAAAAUGGGAUCUGUUGUCAUUCCCAUUUGCAAUUGGUUGUCCAGUUACUUAUACAUGGGCAAGUAAUGGAACAAGGCAGAAACCGAGCACAAGAGUCUGCUGGCAUAUUUCUUUGCAUGGUACAUAAUUCAGUGGUAGAAUAUCAGGAUUUUUAUGCAGAAAGUCUUAGGUUCAGCCCUUGACAUCUCCAGGUAGGAUUGGGAAAUAUCACCUGAAUCAUGAUCAAUGAUCAUCUGAAUCAUUGAGAGCCUCUGCCUGUGAAGAUAAUACUGAGCUAGAUGGUCCAAUGUUCUGCCUCAGAAUAUGACAGCUUCCUAUGUUCUGCCUGUCAUAUAUUCUCUGAUAUAUCUAUUUUCAUGAGCAACCCAAUCGCUGAGCUUUGAGAUACGUUGGGGCUGCCAGAGCAUACCUUUGUUUGGCUUCCUUGGAAUGGAAGUCACUGGAGAUUGUGGUCACACAUACACACACACACUGCAGGGCCUCACAGCAUUAACACUCCAUUCCACCUUGUUCCUCCAUUAGGUUUCUAUGGGACUUCAUCACAGAGAGCAAUUCAAGCCUCUUGUCUCCAGUACUUCAGACAGGGCUAGAAAAAAUACUUGCCCCAUCACCAGUUAGUUCUUUCUGUGGCAACAGAGCCAAUUCUUUAGUUAUGUAAAAAAGAAUGCUUGACUAGGGCCAUUGACUUAACAAAGAAAUUGGUCUGACUACUUUAGCAGGUUUUUUUUACCAUGGAAUCCAAUUUUACAAAUAUAGAUACAGUUUGUAAUGGUGUUUUAUCCUUUUUAUGUUGUACACCUUACUGAUUUUUUAAGAUAAAAGUAUAGAAAUACAUUUAAUAAAUGUCAGGAGCUGGCCUGCUUCCGACUUGAGAAAACAGCAUGCAAGAGGUAAUUAACAGAAGAUUGAUUGCAUACAAGCAAUUAGCCUCCGAUCACUCUCCCCGAGCAACCAUCUAUCACAAUUAUGUUGACUCAUCUGAAGAACACUUCCAGCUACUACAGAAUAUCCUGAGCCUCCUACUCUUACGUUUCAGGCGUCGUUGUCUGUCUUGGACUUUUUCCAUUUGUCUAGUUCUGGGACUGAUGGGGUUAGCUACCUCCUCUUCUGCUGAGGAAAUUCUCCCCCACCCCUGUGCCGUGAGUGACUGUGAUUCCUCAGAGAGCUGGCUCCCAUCCAGCCCGCCUUUCCUGUGUUGAUAAGCCUCAUUCCUGCCAGCUACAGAGGGAGGAGGCGACAGACCACUGGUUCCAGCUGUCUGUGAAAUCUGCAAGUCUCCUUCUCCUUCUGCUUGCCUGCUGUCUAGCUCAGGCUGCCCUUCUCAGUUUUGUGCUGUCGUAUCCAUGACAAUAAAUAAAACCACAGAUUUGGACACAGACCCAAAGAUGACAUUGAAACCAUCUUCCAAUCCUGUACCAAUACUGAGAAUGGGGAAGGGGAGAGGAAUGAGAUGCCCCAUGAUAUUCUUGUAAAGAAGCUGGUAAAAUGCGGUCUUGACUAUGCUACCACUCAGUGGAUUUGUAACUGGCUGACUGACCGAACCCAAAGGGUGCUCAUCAAUGGUUCCUCUUCUUCCUGGAGAAGAGUGACUAGUGGGGUGCCACAGGGUUCUGUCUUGGGCCCGGUCUUAUUCAACAUCUUUAUCAACGACUUGGAUGAUGGACUCAAGGGCAUCCUGAUCAAAUUUGCAGAUGACACCAAACUGGGAGGGUGGCUAACACCCCAGAGGACAGGAUCACACUUCAAAACGACCUUGACAGAUUAGAGAACUGGGCCAAAACAAACAAGAUGAAUUUUAACAGGGAGAAAUGUAAAGUAUUGCACUUGGGCAAAAAAAAUGAGAGGCACAAAUACAAGAUGGGGGACACCUGGCUUGAGAGCAGUACAUGUAAAAAGGAUCUAGGAGUCUUGGUUGACCACAAACUUGACAUGAGCCAACAGUGUGACGCGGCAGCUAAAAAAGCCAAUGCAAUUCUGGGCUGUAUCAAUAGGAGUAUAGCAUCUAGAUCAAGGGAAGUAAUAGUGCCACUGUAUUCUGCUCUGGUCAGACCUCACCUGGAGUACUGUGUCCAGUUCUGGGCACCACAGUUCAAGAAGGACACUGACAAACUGGAACGUGUCCAGAGGAGGGCAACCAAAAUGGUCAAAGGCCUGGAAACGAUGCCUUAUGAGGAACGGCUAAGGGAGCUGGGCAUGUUUAGCCUGGAAAAGAGGAGGUUAAGGGGUGAUAUGAUAGCCAUGUUCAAAUAUAUAAAAGGAUGUCACAUAGAGGAGGGAGAAAGGUUGUUUUCUGCUGCUCCAGAGAAGCGGACACGGAGCAAUGGAUCCAAACCACAAGAAAAAAGAUUCCACCUAAACAUUAGGAAGAACUUCCUGACAGUAAGAGCUGUUUGACAGUGGAAUUUGCUGCCAAGGAGUGUGGUGGAGUCUCCUUCUUUGGAGGUCUUUAAGCAGAGGCUUGACAACCAUAUGUCAGGAGUGCUCUGAUGGUGUUUCCCGCUUGGCAGGGGGUUGGACUCGAUGGCCCUUGUGGUCUCUUCCAACUCUAUGAUUCUAUGAUAGCUGAUGUCAUAUCCUGUUACAGAUGCAAUUAAAACAUGCCUUUCCUCUUCAGAACUAUCUUAGGAAGCAGUCCAAUACUGAUUCACGUCUAUAUAAAUUUUCAGGAUAGGAGCUGCAUUGAGAAGCUGCUACCUGUAGCUCUGUAGUUCUGUGGUUCACUACACGAGGCAGAUAUCCACAGAGAUCUUAAUUGUUCCUGACAUUUUGCCAUCCUGUGCUCAAUGUCAGAAAUGAGAGUUUCAAAUGGCAGAGACUAACGAUUUAUGUUUCAGACUGGCCAUUUUGGGGAGCAUGGUGGUGUUUUAGGUUUUCUUAGGUAAGCUGUUUGCAGGAUCCUAGAUGGAAAGGUGAAAGAGAAGUGCUCUUCCAUUAAUACCUGUCUUAGGGCCCAGGGGAGAACUAGCAGUAGAAGAUCCUGCAAUAUGACCCUGAUACCAAAUUACAGAACAUGGCUUUAUAACAAGACAGUAAUUCAGAUACCUCCAUUGUACAUGCACAGACUUAUAAAGCUUAGUUAUUUCAACAUUUAGAUCCUCACUGGUUGCUGCAGCAUUUUAUUAAGGAUCCUGCUUGCACAGAAAGGGUUGUCACAUCUCCAGGCAAGCAUUAAAAGAAAUGUUCAAAAUAACUAGACUGCCCCAGGGGCGAACGAUUUAUUUGCUGGCAACCGAUGCAUCCUCAAUAUGCUUAUUCUACUGUUUUCUCACUACAUGUUAAAUCUCAGUAAGCCCACAUGUUUUUCCCCACUUACCUCUGCUAUAUAACUCACAAAACUCUAUUGGUGCAAAUGUUACUGCGUUGCAAUGCAAGGCAGUUAAGAUUAUUUUUGUUGCUUAAUCAAUUGAAUUGCUAUCAUUUUUUGUUGUUUCCUCCCCACAAGGAAGGUUAAUCAAAGAACUAGGAGAGAGAUUCGCAGUUCUAAGAAAUGAAAAGAAUGGUAAUUUCUGAAAUUAUUUUGUGGGGACACGAAUGGACAUGUUGUAGAAUUCUAGUCCAACCCUCUGCAAUGCAGGUAUCACAGCUAAAUAAUUCAUGAGAGCGUGUCACCCAACCUCUUUAAAAAAAAAAAAAUCCAGUGAAGGAAACUCCACCACCUUUUAAAUCAUAGAAUUGUAGAGUAGGAAAGGACCCUAAGGAUUACCUAGUCCAAUCCCCUGCAAUGCAGGAAUAUGCAACUGUCUCAUAUGGGGGUUGAACUUGCAACCUUGUCAUUAUCAGCGCCAUGCUAUAACCAAUUGAGCUAUGUAGCCCAUUUCACUAUUGAACAGCUCUCACUGCCAGACAGUUCUUCUUAAUGUUUUGUUUGAAUAGCCAUUCUUGUAAUCUGGAAUCCAUUGGUUCAGGUCCUACCCUCCGGAGCAGGAGAAAACAAGCUUGCUCCAUCUUCCAUGUGACAACCCUUAGGAUAUUUGAAGAUGCCGGUUGUAUCACCUGUUAGUCUUCACUUCUUCAAGCUAAACAUACCCAACUCUCUCAACCAUUCCUCAAAAGGCUCUGUUCCCAGACAAAGGAAGGAUUUAUUGCAGACCUUACAAAUACCCUGAUAGUUCUGCUUAUUCCUACACUGGUAAAGGACCAUGUAAACAAUUCGAGGUUCUGGUUCUGGUGUAUAAAAUCCUAUAGGACUAAGUUACCUGAAAGACCAUCUCACCCCUUGUAUACCCAAUCAGUCACUGCACUCUGCAGGUGAAGGCUUCCUGCAGAUACCAUCUUAUCAGGAACUCCAUUCCACACAUUGUAGGAAUCAGGUCUUUAGUGGUGUGGCACCUACUCUUUAGAAUUCCCUCAGAUUACAUAUUAGGCAUCAUUUCCUCUCUUUUCAAUGCCUACUGAAGACCUUCCUCUUCUGCAAGGCUUUAAGGGCUCAUCCACACUUCCUCUUGUGCUACGGAAGGCACCGGUCUGAGAGGUUUUCCACUUAACCCACUAAUUUCCAAGGGAAUGCCCACUCUUUAGAGAUAGAUCAAAACAAAUGGCAAUCUGGAGGAAAGCUGAUUUGCCAUUUGCUCCAGCUGAAUGCCAAAGAGUAGCUUUCCUUGGGAGAAAACAGUGGGAGAAGAGGAAGUGUGGAUAAUCCCUAAACUGAAAUCUUUCUAAAUCUACUUUUAAAUCUAGCUCCUUUGGGAGGGAGUGAGAGCAGGGUAUAAAUUUUGUAUGUAUGGAUAAUAAAAUAACUUGCACCUCUGUCCACAAUGGAUGGGAUUACUGGGAGUUGGACUUUGGCGACAAUUGGAGGGCCACAGGUACCCAUAUAUGCCAUAAGGCUUAAGCCACAAGGUUUCUGAUUUUUGGUGGUGGCAUUAGUAUUUGCUGUAUCUGCUUUCCAUUGUUUUUGCAACUACUGAGGAACUGUACCUUCUGUGUUAAAAAAAUCCCAUUACCAAUUCACCUGAGCUAAUUGAAAUGCCAUAUUAUCUAAUCCACACAUGUAUAGCAGACUGACAAAAGGGAAAGCAGAGAAAACCAUUCAGACUAAAUUUCAAAUACAAUACAAAUGUAUUACACAUCAAUUGUGCAAAUAAGAUAACCAUGUUAAUCUUUAUAGGAACAUUUGCAAUUCGGGGGUGGGGGUUACUUUGUUUGAGGCAAUUGUCUUUUCCACUUCUUUUAUUAGAUCAUGCAAAUGAAAUAAGCACCACUUUACCUUCACAGAGUAAAAAGCAAACAGACAUGUAUUUUAUUUCAAUGCAUUUUUAAUACUGGCCUGGUGGGCUUUAUUCAGCCACUAACGACUUGUCUUGGAUUGUUGCUUAUCUGUCUAGUUUUCUGUGGUGUAACUGUCAAUGACCAGCAUUAGGAAGCACAAAAGAACGCACACAUUAUCCAGAUGUGUAUAACAGUGCAAACUAAAUAAAAGCAGUAUAAAAAAAUGAGCACUGACAUUGCAAAUGAACGUUACCCAUUAAAGAAAAGAUAAACAGAUGCAGGUGGUGGUUGUGGCUCCUGCUUCCCUUUCUGCUUAUUUACAGUCCAGUCUUCUUUGCUUGCUUCCCAGGUCAUGCUCCAAAUCCCCUCAAGAGAACAUUCUGGAUGAAAGGCACACCUAUUGUAAGAGUUCUUUUCCAUUCCCUUACAAUCUUAUAAAAAGAUAGCUAGGAACUGACUGAGCAGCUAAUUCCACCUUAUUUCAGUCUCACUGGCAUGCAGUCACAGUCCAUACCACCCUCUUGCAUGCCAGUAUGUCCUGCUCCAUCUCAUUCAACCAUUAUUAUUAUUAUUAUUAUUAUUAUUAUUAUUAUUAUUAGCACACCUGGAAAAGAGGAUCAGAAAAAUUCAUGGAGG